CAUGCAAGUCGAACGGAGCUUAGAGAGCUUGCUUUUUAAGCUUAGUGGCGAACGGGUGAGUAACGCGUGAGUAACCUGCCCUAGAGUGGGGGACAACAGUUGGAAACGACUGCUAAUACCGCAUAAGCCCACGGUACCGCAUGGUACUGAGGGAAAAGGAUUUAUUCGCUUUAGGAUGGACUCGCGUCCAAUUAGCUAGUUGGUGAGGUAACGGCCCACCAAGGCGACGAUUGGUAGCCGGACUGAGAGGUUGAACGGCCACAUUGGGACUGAGACACGGCCCAGACUCCUACGGGAGGCAGCAGUGGGGAAUAUUGCACAAUGGGGGAAACCCUGAUGCAGCGACGCCGCGUGGAGGAAGAAGGUCUUCGGAUUGUAAACUCCUGUUGUUGAGGAAGAUAAUGACGGUACUCAACAAGGAAGUGACGGCUAACUACGUGCCAGCAGCCGCGGUAAAACGUAGGUCACAAGCGUUGUCCGGAAUUACUGGGUGUAAAGGGAGCGCAGGCGGGAAGACAAGUUGGAAGUGAAAUCCAUGGGCUCAACCCAUGAACUGCUUUCAAAACUGUUUUUCUUGAGUAGUGCAGAGGUAGGCGGAAUUCCCGGUGUAGCGGUGGAAUGCGUAGAUAUCGGGAGGAACACCAGUGGCGAAGGCGGCCUACUGGGCACCAACUGACGCUGAGGCUCGAAAGUGUGGGUAGCAAACAGGAUUAGAUACCCUGGUAGUCCACACCAUAAACGAUGAUUACUAGGUGUUGGAGGAUUGACCCCUUCAGUGCCGCAGUUAACACAAUAAGUAAUCCACCUGGGG
RNAcentral lists this ribosomal RNA (811 nucleotides) under uncultured bacterium. RNAcentral's name for it is "bacterial SSU rRNA". It matches the Rfam family "Bacterial small subunit ribosomal RNA", at positions 54 to 878 of the family's 1533-position model. The record is from RNAcentral.